UAAUAUAUCGGAACGUACCCUAGAGUGGGGGAUAACGUAGCGAAAGUUACGCUAAUACCGCAUACGAUCUAAGGAUGAAAGUGGGGGAUCGCAAGACCUCAUGCUCGUGGAGCGGCCGAUAUCUGAUUAGCUAGUUGGUAGGGUAAAAGCCUACCAAGGCAUCGAUCAGUAGCUGGUCUGAGAGGACGACCAGCCACACUGGAACUGAGACACGGUCCAGACUCCUACGGGAGGCAGCAGUGGGGAAUUUUGGACAAUGGGCGAAAGCCUGAUCCAGCAAUGCCGCGUGAGUGAAGAAGGCCUUCGGGUUGUAAAGCUCUUUUGUCAGGGAAGAAACGGUGAGAGCUAAUAUCUCUUGCUAAUGACGGUACCUGAAGAAUAAAGCACCGGCUAAACUACGUGCCCAGCAGCCCGCGGUAAUACGUAGGUGCAAGCGUUAAUCGGAAUUACUGGGCGUAAAGCGUGCGCAGGCGGUUUUGUAAGUCUGAUGUGAAAUCCCCGGGCUCAACCUGGGAAUUGCAUUGGAGACUGCAAGGCUAGAAUCUGGCAGAGGGGGGUAGAAUUCCACGUGUAGCAGUGAAAUGCGUAGAUAUGUGGAGGAACACCGAUGGCGAAGGCAGCCCCCUGGGUCAAGAUUGACGCUCAUGCACGAAAGCGUGGGGAGCAAACAGGAUUANNUACCCUGGUAGUCCACGCCCUAAACGAUGUCACCNNUGUCGGGUCUUAAUUGACUUGGUAACGCAGCUAACGCGUGAAGUAGACCGCCUGGGAGAUACGGUCGCAAGAUUAAAACUCAAAGGAAUUGACGGGGACCCGCACAAGCGGUGGAUGAUGUGGAUUAAUUCGAUGCAACGCGAAAAACCUUACCUACCCUUGACAUGGCUGGAAUCCUUGAGAGAUCAGGGAGUGCUCGAAAGAGAACCAGUACACAGGUGCUGCAUGGCUGUCGUCAGCUCGUGUCGUGAGAUGUUGGGUUAAGUCCCCGCAACGAGCGCAACCCUUGUCAUUAGUUGCUACGAAAGGGCACUCUAAUGAGACUGCCGGUGACAAACCGGAGGAAGGUGGGGAUGACGUCAAGUCCUCAUGGCCCUUAUGGGUAGGGCUUCACACGUCAUACAAUGGUACAUACAGAGCGCCGCCAACCCGCGAGGGGGAGCUAAUCGCAGAAAGUGUAUCGUAGUCCGGAUUGUAGUCUGCAACUCGACUGCAUGAAGUUGGAAUCGCUAGUAAUCGCGGAUCAGCAUGUCGCGGUGAAUACGUUCCCGGGUCUUGUACACACCGCCCGUCACACCAUGGGAGCGGGUUUUACCAGAAGUAG
Molecule: ribosomal RNA, 1318 nt
Filed under: Janthinobacterium sp. 42
Lineage: Bacteria; Pseudomonadati; Pseudomonadota; Betaproteobacteria; Burkholderiales; Oxalobacteraceae
Description: bacterial SSU rRNA
Rfam family: Bacterial small subunit ribosomal RNA
Source: RNAcentral